CCUACGGGAGGCAGCAGUGGGGGAUAUUGCACAAUGGGGGGAACCCUGAUGCAGCGACGACGCGUGGGUGAAGAAGCGCCUCGGCGCGUAAAGCCCUGUCAGCAGGGAAGAACAUGACGGUACCUGAAGAAGAAGCCCCGGCUAACUACGUGCCAGCAGCCGCGGUAAUACGUAGGGGGCACGCGUUAUCCGGAUUUACUGGGGGUAAGGGGGGCGCAGACGGCGAUGCAAGCCAGGAGUGAAAGCCCGGGGCCCAACCCCGGGCCUGCUCUUGGAACUGCGUGGCUGGAGUGCAGGAGGGGCAGGCGGAAUUCCUGGGGUAGCGGUGAAAUGCGUAGAUAUCAGGAGGAACACCGGUGGCGAAGGCGGCCUGCUGGACUGCAACUGACGUUGAGGCCCGAAAGCGUGGGGAGCAAACAGGAUUAGAUACCCCAGUAGUC
RNAcentral lists this ribosomal RNA (440 nucleotides) under uncultured bacterium. RNAcentral describes it as "partial 16S ribosomal RNA". It matches the Rfam family "Bacterial small subunit ribosomal RNA", at positions 338 to 795 of the family's 1533-position model. The record is from RNAcentral.